This 579-nucleotide ribosomal RNA is filed under the name uncultured bacterium. Its description in RNAcentral is "bacterial SSU rRNA". It matches the Rfam family "Bacterial small subunit ribosomal RNA", at positions 46 to 609 of the family's 1533-position model. The record is from RNAcentral.
UUCUAACACAUGCACGUCGAGCGGUAGCACAGAGAAGCUUGCUUCUUGGGUGACGAGCGGCGGACGGGUGAGUAACGCGUGGGAAUCUACCUGGUAGUGGGGGACAACAGUCGGAAACGACUGCUAAUACCGCAUACGCCCUUCGGGGGAAAGUGGGGGAUCUUCGGACCUCACGCUAUCAGAUGAGCCCGCGUCGGAUUAGCUUGUUGGUGAGGUAAAGGCUCACCAAGGCGAUGAUCCGUAGCUGGUCUGAGAGGAUGACCAGCCACACUGGGACUGAGACACGGCCCAGACUCCUACGGGAGGCAGCAGUGGGGAAUAUUGGACAAUGGGGGCAACCCUGAUCCAGCCAUGCCGCGUGUGUGAAGAAGGCCUUCGGGUUGUAAAGCACUUUCAGCUGUGAGGAAAGGUGAGUGGUUAAUACCCGCUUGCUGUGACGUUAACAGCAGAAGAAGGACCGGCUAACUCCGUGCCAGCAAGCCCGCGGUAAAUACGGGAGGGUCCGAGCGUUAAUCGGAAUUACUGGGCGUAAAGCGCGCGUAGGUGGUUCAGUCAGUCCAGAUGUGAAAACCCCCGGGC